ACACUUACUGGGCAGGGGAGACACCUUGAUCAUAAAGGAGGUUUUCCCAGGGUGAGGCUCAUCCAUUGCACUGCGAGUGUGCUGACCCCUGCGAUCUUCCCAAAUGUGGGAAACUAGUGUGUGUAGUAGGCUUGUGCAUUUCGAUUUGGGCACAAA
Hemicordylus capensis (graceful crag lizard) is the source of this 156-nucleotide small nuclear RNA. RefSeq annotates it as U1 spliceosomal RNA. NCBI's taxonomy places the organism in Eukaryota, Metazoa, Chordata, Lepidosauria, Squamata, Cordylidae. The record is from RefSeq and is a predicted model, not a curated record. The transcript has a single exon.